This 256-nucleotide ribosomal RNA is filed under the name Lycambes sargi. RNAcentral describes it as "partial large subunit ribosomal RNA". It matches the Rfam family "Eukaryotic large subunit ribosomal RNA", at positions 2552 to 2697 of the family's 3401-position model. Lineage: Eukaryota; Metazoa; Arthropoda; Insecta; Hemiptera; Coreidae. The record is from RNAcentral.
GACGGUAUUCUCGCGCCAAGCGCCAAGGGUUGUCGGCGGCCGGUCAGACGUGGUGAGGCCCGCGGCGGUCCGCUUUGCGGCGGUUCUGCCGUGCGCGUCGUCGCUGCGCUCUUGGUCGCGCCGUCCGGCAACACACUCCCUAGCGUGAUCCGAUCCAAGGACACUACCAGGCGGGGAGUUUGACUGGGGCGGUACAUCUGUCAAAUAAUAACGCAGGUGUCCUAUGGUCAGCUCAGCGAGGACAGAAACCUCGCGU